AAUAGAUACCCGGGUAGUCCACGCCGUAAACGAUGAGUGCUAAGUGUUAGAGGGUUUCCGCCCUUUAGUGCUGCAGCUAACGCAUUAAGCACUCCGCCUGGGGAGUACGGCCGCAAGGCUGAAACUCAAAGGAAUUGACGGGGGCCCGCACAAGCGGUGGAGCAUGUGGUUUAAUUCGAAGCAACGCGAAGAACCUUACCAGGUCUUGACAUCCUCUGCCAACCCUAGAGAUAGGGCGUUCCCCUUCGGGGGACAGAGUGACAGGUGGUGCAUGGUUGUCGUCAGCUCGUGUCGUGAGAUGUUGGGUUAAGUCCCGCAACGAGCGCAACCCUUGAUCUUAGUUGCCAGCAUUUAGUUGGGCACUCUAAGGUGACUGCCGGUGACAAACCGGAGGAAGGUGGGGAUGACGUCAAAUCAUCAUGCCCCUUAUGACCUGGGCUACACACGUGCUACAAUGGAUGGUACAAAGAGCUGCGAACCCGCGAGGGUAAGCCAAUCUCAUAAAGCCAUUCUCAGUUCGGA
Molecule: ribosomal RNA, 522 nt
Filed under: uncultured bacterium
Lineage: Bacteria
Description: bacterial SSU rRNA
Rfam family: Bacterial small subunit ribosomal RNA
Source: RNAcentral